AUGAAAAAAGAAUUUGGAGGUCUAGGCAUUCCCAACCUCCAAGAGGUGAACACCUGCCUCCUAGGAUCCUGGGUUAAGAGAUUCUAUGAAGAAGGAGAAAAACCUUGGCAAGCUAUCAUAGAACAAAAAUAUCUGUUUGGAAAGCCUAACUUGUUUGCGGUCCACUCCAUCCCAAACUCUUCAAGAUUCUGGAAGGGAUUUCAAUCCAUCAUUCAAAAUCUGAAGUUUGGAUUUAGAUGGAAAGUUGGCAAUGGGGAGAGGGUCAGAUUUUGGGAAGACACCUGGUUCGGGACUUCGCCACUAGCUACCCAAUUCUAGCCUGUCUACCUGGUCUGUAAUGAGCAGACUAAAACUAUCAAAGAAGUCUGGGAUGGGGAAACCCUA
This 384-nucleotide ribosomal RNA is filed under the name Triticum aestivum (bread wheat). RNAcentral describes it as "partial small subunit ribosomal RNA". The record is from RNAcentral. Lineage: Eukaryota; Viridiplantae; Streptophyta; Magnoliopsida; Poales; Poaceae.